UUGAGGAAGAGUUUGAAGAUUAGGAAGAAGUUGAAGAAGAUGCGGAAUAGUAGCGGACUUAAUUAAAUAACAUGACAAUUGGCAAUAUUGUGUUGUUAUGUUAGUUAUGAGUUAUGAGUUAAGUUGAGACAAUCUCUUGUUUUUUGUUAAAUAGUAGUGUUAAAGAAUGACAAAAGUCCAGAGAGAGCACACUUCUAUUAUUUAAUUAUAUUCUCAACAUGCCCCC
This 226-nucleotide long non-coding RNA is filed under the name Solanum tuberosum (potato). RNAcentral's name for it is "long non-coding RNA (STUB_LNC001892)". Lineage: Eukaryota; Viridiplantae; Streptophyta; Magnoliopsida; Solanales; Solanaceae. The record is from RNAcentral.